This 249-nucleotide ribosomal RNA is filed under the name uncultured bacterium. RNAcentral describes it as "partial 16S ribosomal RNA". It matches the Rfam family "Bacterial small subunit ribosomal RNA", at positions 107 to 353 of the family's 1533-position model. The record is from RNAcentral.
UGAGUAACGCGUGAGUAACCUGCCUUCAAGAGGGGGAUAACAUUCUGAAAAGAAUGCUAAUACCGCAUGACAUAUCGGAACCACAUGGUUUUGAUAUCAAAGAUUUUAUCGCUUGAAGAUGGACUCGCGUCCGAUUAGUUAGUUGGUGAGGUAACGGCUCACCAAGACCGCAAUCGGUAGCCGGACUGAGAGGUUGAACGGCCACAUUGGGACUGAGACACGGCCCAGACUCCUACGGGAGGCAGCAUG